UACAUAGCAAGUCAUUCAAACAUGUAGCAUUAAGUCGAAGACUCGUACAUCGACAAUUCUAUAUACUGGAUACGAUUCGCCUAAGCCUGAAAGGCAAAAAGUGAGUUGUCUCUCUUCAAAUUAAUGAUAAAUAACAAAUAAUCAAAAAUUUUCUUUUCAAUUUUCUGCACUCUGAUCUUCACUCUCUGGUUAGCAAUCUGUCAUUCACAUGGACUGACAUGUUUCUAAAUCUUUAGGGCAAAUGAAAAAUAUCAUCAAUCUUGUUGUGGUAGAAUUUUGGGGGCGAGCAACCAACAGUCAAAAUUGCUCUUACGCUCAGAAUUGGUUUCGGGCAACUUGCACAAGAGAACAAAUAUAACCAGCUAGGGCGAGGCCACUCAAACUCCCUCCGAUGUGGAGAUCAAACCGAGGAUAAUAAGCUAGACAGAGCAAAGCACCAGAGCUCUCAGAGUGAGUAAACAAGGUUUUUUCAUACCUCUCACUGAUGAGGGAGAGACCUUUUUAUAGAUGAAUAAUGGAGAGCCGUGUAAGGAGAUUACAGCGUGAUCCUCGGACGGUUAAGUAUGGAAGAAGAUACUAGAGUAAUAUUAGGAAAAUGCUAUAUAGAAAAUAAACCGCGAUUAUAGGCGACAUGACAGAGAAGUCUCACAAAGACAGAUUCUUCAAGCAUGUGAGAUAGAUAACCUCGCCCCUCGGCAAUGUUGAGAAC
This 709-nucleotide long non-coding RNA is filed under the name Actinidia chinensis (golden kiwifruit). RNAcentral describes it as "long non-coding RNA (ACHI_LNC003153)". Lineage: Eukaryota; Viridiplantae; Streptophyta; Magnoliopsida; Ericales; Actinidiaceae. The record is from RNAcentral.